This 207-nucleotide ribosomal RNA is filed under the name uncultured bacterium. RNAcentral's name for it is "partial 16S ribosomal RNA". It matches the Rfam family "Bacterial small subunit ribosomal RNA", at positions 568 to 774 of the family's 1533-position model. The record is from RNAcentral.
UCUGCAGGUGGUUUCUUAAGUCUACUGUUAAAUCUUGAGGCUCAACCUCAAAUCUGCAGUAGAAACUAGGAGACUUGAGUAUAGUAGGGGUAAAGGGAAUUUCCAGUGGAGCGGUGAAAUGCGUAGAUAUUGGAAAGAACACCGAUGGCGAAGGCACUCUACUGGGCUAUUACUGACACUCAGAGACGAAAGCUAGGGGAGCAAACA